UUUCAGUGAGUGGCGAACGGGUGAGUAACACGUGGACAACCUGCCUCAAGGCUGGGGAUAACAUUUGGAAACAGAUGCUAAUACCGAAUAAAACUUAGUGUCGCAUGACACAAAGUUAAAAGGCGCUUCGGCGUCACCUAGAGAUGGAUCCGCGGUGCAUUAGUUAGUUGGUGGGGUAAAGGCCUACCAAGACAAUGAUGCAUAGCCGAGUUGAGAGACUGAUCGGCCACAUUGGGACUGAGACACGGCCCAAACUCCUACGGGAGGCUGCAGUAGGGAAUCUUCCACAAUGGGCGAAAGCCUGAUGGAGCAACGCCGCGUGUGUGAUGAAGGCUUUCGGGUCGUAAAGCACUGUUGUAUGGGAAGAACAGCUAGAAUAGGAAAUGAUUUUAGUUUGACGGUACCAUACCAGAAAGGGACGGCUAAAUACGUGCCAGCAGCCGCGGUAAUACGUAUGUCCCGAGCGUUAUCCGGAUUUAUUGGGCGUAAAGCGAGCGCAGACGGUUUAUUAAGUCUGAUGUGAAAGCCCGGAGCUCAACUCCGGAAUGGCAUUGGAAACUGGUUAACUUGAGUGCAGUAGAGGUAAGUGGAACUCCAUGUGUAGCGGUGGAAUGCGUAGAUAUAUGGAAGAACACCAGUGGCGAAAGCGCUUACUGGACUGCAACUGACGUUGAGCUCGAAAGUGUGGGUAGC
This 693-nucleotide ribosomal RNA is filed under the name Leuconostoc mesenteroides. RNAcentral's name for it is "bacterial SSU rRNA". It matches the Rfam family "Bacterial small subunit ribosomal RNA", at positions 86 to 769 of the family's 1533-position model. Lineage: Bacteria; Bacillati; Bacillota; Bacilli; Lactobacillales; Lactobacillaceae. The record is from RNAcentral.